This 460-nucleotide ribosomal RNA is filed under the name uncultured bacterium. Its description in RNAcentral is "bacterial SSU rRNA". It matches the Rfam family "Bacterial small subunit ribosomal RNA", at positions 1 to 507 of the family's 1533-position model. The record is from RNAcentral.
GACGUCUACGAGUUUGAUCAUGGCUCAGAACGAACGCUGGCGGCAGGCCUAACACAUGCAAGUCGAGCGAACCCUUCGGGGUUAGCGGCGGACGGGUUAGUAACGCGUGGGAAUAUACCCUUUGGUACGGAAUAGCCUCGGGAAACUGAGAGUAAUACCGUAUGUGCCCUUCGGGGAAAGAUUAUCGCCAAAGGAUUAGCCCGCGUUGGAUUAGAUAGUUGGUGGGGUAAGUGGCCUACCAAGUCUACGAUCCAUAGCUGGUUUGAGAGGAUGAUCAGCAACACUGGGACUGAGACACGGCCCAGACUCCUACGGGAGGCAGCAGUGGGGAAUCUUAGACAAUGGGCGCAAGCCUGAUCUAGCCAUGCCGCGUGGACGAUGAAGGCCUUAGGGUUGUAAAGUCCUUUCAGAUGGGAAGAUAAUGACGGUACCAUCAGAAGAAGCCCCGGCUAACUCCGUG